UUCUAUGAUGAAUGGCACUGGGCUCCGACAGCCUUAUCAUGGCUGGUCUUGAUGGAUAUGCCCUUUUGUGGCAGGCCUAGAAAACCUCGCCCACUGAUU
RNAcentral lists this small nucleolar RNA (99 nucleotides) under Exophiala aquamarina CBS 119918. Its description in RNAcentral is "A. fumigatus snoRNA Afu_513". It matches the Rfam family "A. fumigatus snoRNA Afu_513". Lineage: Eukaryota; Fungi; Ascomycota; Eurotiomycetes; Chaetothyriales; Herpotrichiellaceae. The record is from Rfam by way of RNAcentral.